AAAAAAAAUUGGGGCUUUUUAUAAAGGUUUUUUUCUCGCUCAGGGCGAACGCUGGCGGCGUGCCUAAUACAUGCAAGUCGAGCGAACCAAUGGGAGCUUGCUCCCUGAGGUUAGCGGCGGACGGGUGAGUAACACGUGGGCAACCUGCCUGUAAGACUGGGAUAACUCCGGGAAACCGGGGCUAAUACCGGAUAAUUCAUUUCCUCUCAUGAGGAAAUGCUGAAAGACGGUUUCGGCUGUCACUUACAGAUGGGCCCGCGGCGCAUUAGCUAGUUGGUGAGGUAACGGCUCACCAAGGCCACGAUGCGUAGCCGACCUGAGAGGGUGAUCGGCCACACUGGGACUGAGACACGGCCCAGACUCCUACGGGAGGCAGCAGUAGGGAAUCUUCCGCAAUGGACGAAAGUCUGACGGAGCAACGCCGCGUGAGCGAAGAAGGCCUUCGGGUCGUAAAGCUCUGUUGUUAGGGAAGAACAAGUAUCGGAGUAACUGCCGGUACCUUGACGGUACCUAACCAGAAAGCCACGGCUAACUACGUGCCAGCAGCCGCGGUAAUACGUAGGUGGCAAGCGUUGUCCGGAAUUAUUGGGCGUAAAGCGCGCGCAGGCGGUCCUUUAAGUCUGAUGUGAAAGCCCACGGCUCAACCGUGGAGGGUCAUUGGAAACUGGGGGACUUGAGUGCAGAAGAGGAGAGUGGAAUUCCACGUGUAGCGGUGAAAUGCGUAGAGAUGUGGAGGAACACCAGUGGCGAAGGCGACUCUCUGGUCUGUAACUGACGCUGAGGCGCGAAAGCGUGGGGAGCGAACAGGAUUAGAUACCCUGGUAGUCCACGCCGUAAACGAUGAGUGCUAAGUGUUAGAGGGUUUCCGCCCUUUAGUGCUGCAGCAAACGCAUUAAGCACUCCGCCUGGGAGACGCCACGCG
RNAcentral lists this ribosomal RNA (922 nucleotides) under Mesobacillus foraminis. RNAcentral's name for it is "bacterial SSU rRNA". It matches the Rfam family "Bacterial small subunit ribosomal RNA", at positions 1 to 888 of the family's 1533-position model. Lineage: Bacteria; Bacillati; Bacillota; Bacilli; Caryophanales; Bacillaceae. The record is from RNAcentral.